This 74-nucleotide transfer RNA is filed under the name Streptococcus pyogenes. RNAcentral's name for it is "tRNA-Asn". It matches the Rfam family "tRNA". Rfam says of the family: Transfer RNA (tRNA) molecules are approximately 80 nucleotides in length. Their secondary structure includes four short double-helical elements and three loops (D, anti-codon, and T loops). Further hydrogen bonds mediate the characteristic L-shaped molecular structure. tRNAs have two regions of fundamental functional importance: the anti-codon, which is responsible for specific mRNA codon recognition, and the 3' end, to which the tRNAs corresponding amino acid is attached (by aminoacyl-tRNA synthetases). tRNAs cope with the degeneracy of the genetic code in two manners: having more than one tRNA (with a specific anti-codon) for a particular amino acid; and 'wobble' base-pairing, i.e. permitting non-standard base-pairing at the 3rd anti-codon position. The record is from RNAcentral. Lineage: Bacteria; Bacillati; Bacillota; Bacilli; Lactobacillales; Streptococcaceae. RNAcentral also lists the same sequence under 6 other names.
UCCGGCAUAGCUCAGUUGGUAGUAGCGCAUGACUGUUAAUCAUGAUGUCGUAGGUUCGAGUCCUACUGUCGGAG